RNAcentral lists this ribosomal RNA (253 nucleotides) under uncultured bacterium. RNAcentral's name for it is "partial 16S ribosomal RNA". It matches the Rfam family "Bacterial small subunit ribosomal RNA", at positions 524 to 776 of the family's 1533-position model. The record is from RNAcentral.
UACGGAGGGUGCAAGCGUUAAUCGGAAUUACUGGGCGUAAAGCGCACGCAGGUGGCUGAGUCAGUCGAUUGUGAAAGCCCUGGGCUUAACCUGGGAAUUGCAGUCGAUACUACUCAGCUAGAGUAUGGGAGAGGGUAGUGGAAUUCCCGGUGUAGCGGUGAAAUGCGUAGAUAUCGGGAGGACCAUCAGUGGCGAAGGCGGCUACCUGGCCCAAUACUGACACUCAGGUGCGACAGCGUGGGGAGCAAACAGG